UAAAUAUGACCACGAGACCGAUAGCGAACAAGUACCGUGAGGGAAAGUUGAAAAGCACUUUGAAGAGAGAGUUCAAGAGUACGUGAAACCGUUUAGGGGUAAACCUGAGAAACCCGAAAGGUCGAAGGGAGAAAUUCAUUCGCGUUUCGACGUUGGCGUCGGACAGUCGUGUGACGAGAAACGUUCGCGUUUUUCGCGCCUUCUGUCCGUCGAACCGGUGGCGAACGCGUGCACUUUUCUCCCGGUAGGACGUCGCGAUCCGUUGGGUGUCGGUCUACGGCUCGCGGUGGAGCCCGUUCGCCAUUACGUGCGAGCGGACCCGUGUGUCCCGGCUGACUCGCUCGACGGUAUACGAGAGGUUUGAGGCCGCUCUCUCGGAGCGUUCGACUCGUGGCAAGCGCGCCAGAUGUGUCGGCGAUCGGACCUAGUGCCGGUUCCGAUCUCUGGUGACUGUUGGCCGCGAAGUUCUCGAACAG
RNAcentral lists this ribosomal RNA (476 nucleotides) under Ceratopus sp. 2 LP-2019. RNAcentral's name for it is "partial 28S ribosomal RNA". It matches the Rfam family "Eukaryotic large subunit ribosomal RNA", at positions 317 to 616 of the family's 3401-position model. Lineage: Eukaryota; Metazoa; Arthropoda; Insecta; Coleoptera; Curculionidae. The record is from RNAcentral.